CGCGGCCUAUCAGCUUGUUGGUGGGGUAACGGCCUACCAAGGCGAUGACGGGUAGCCGGUCUGAGAGGACGAUCGGCCACACUGGGACUGAGACACUGCCCAGACUCCUACGGGAGGCAGCAGUGGGGAAUAUUGCGCAAUGGACGAAAGUCUGACGCAGCGACGCCGCGUGGGGGAGGAAGGCCUUAGGGUCGUAAGCCCCUGUCAGAUGGGACGAACCGUAGGUCGAAUAAUACUUGGCCUGCCUGACGGUACCAUCAGAGGAAGCUCCGGCUAACUCCGUGCCAGCAGCCGCGGUAAUACGGAGGGAGCAAGCGUUGUUCGGAAUUACUGGGCGUAAAGGGCGCGUAGGCGGCCUUGUAAGUCGGGUGUGAAAUGCCGGGGCUCAACUCCGUGCACUGCAUCCGAUACUGCUUGGCUGGAGAAAGGUAGAGGCGAGCGGAAUUCCCGGUGUAGCGGUGGAAUGCGUAGAUAUCGGGAAGAACACCUGUGGCGAAGGCGGCUCGCUGGGCCUUUUCUGACGCUGAAGCGCGAAAGCGUGGGGAGCAAACAGGAUUAGAUACCCUGGUAGUCCACGCCGUAAACGCUGGGUACUAGGUGUCGGGAGGCUUGGCCCUCUCGGUGUCGACCCUAACGGAUUAAGUACCCCGCCUGGGGAGUACGG
Molecule: ribosomal RNA, 664 nt
Filed under: uncultured bacterium
Lineage: Bacteria
Description: bacterial SSU rRNA
Rfam family: Bacterial small subunit ribosomal RNA
Source: RNAcentral